CUCUCUCUCUCUCUUGUAAAUGGUGAGUGCUAUCGAGCACAGGAACAGAGGGAAUGGGAAUGAAAUCGACUACUAUCUAGACUUUAUACGAGCAAACCGCCCAAAGAGUAUAAUAAAACUGUGUAAUUUUCGGACUCCAAAAGGAUACAAAGUUCAACCGAGGUCUCCCAGCAAGCACAAACAAGCUUUAAGCAAUGUUAAGCAAACAGUUGCGAGAGAACGUGCAAAAUGCGUCCAAAUAUCAUAUAAAUCUUUGGAUAAGAUUACACGAAAACAACACACAAAACUUGGCAUCUAAACAAGCUUUAAAGAUAAUGCCGAAUUAUGCAGUCCAACAGUCCGUCGCUUCGACAUGAUGAACCCAUCGAAAAGUGCACAAAAAAACAACUCUAAAGAACUCUGCUAAAAAGUUUUGGAUAAGAUAAGGGCCAGAGAGAGUUUGGUUGUUUAAUUGAAAACUGUUUGCUGCACGCCACAAAGAUCAAUCUGGACUCGCACAGAUCAAAGGUCAAGUGUGAGAAAAACGUCCAUAAGUGAUGACGUACAGUGCUCAAACUGAUGAUGAUGAUGAUGAUGAUGAUGAUGAACACAGGUGCAGGAAUAGAAUGCAAAAAAUCGAGAUAAGAUAUCAAAUGUAUGGAGUGUACAUGGAAGGGAAGGCCAAUGACCAAUGAAAACCCAUCAUCAGGGUAGAAUUGCUGCUGUUGCCGAUGUUGCUGCUGAGUCAAGUGCUAUGUUCUGGAAGCUUCUGGGUACUCAGUUCUCAGUUCUAGUUCUGAAAGCUUCAGUUUUCAAAUCGUCUGAAUAUCGUUUGUCAUACGAAAAUUGAGAGCAGAAAAAAAAACUCUUUUAUGUGGCGGCCUUGUCUUUGACUCAAAUUAUCAACAGAAUACGAUGGGCCCCUCCUGCUCUUACUCUCACGCUCGUUCUCGUUCCCGUUGUCGCUCUCCGCAUUGCCCAUGUCGUAAAAGUAAAACAAUCUGUCGGUCUCUGCUAUCGGUGGUUUGCCAUUAGUGGCGGCGAUAAGCCAACGUCUGACGAUCGCUGACAUGGCGAUUCGAUUGAAACUUGCACCCUGGUCAGUUGGUCGUUGGAGACGUUGCGGCUUAUAAAAGUGUCAAUUAAAAUCAUAUUUGGCUUUAUUGCAGAGCACAAACGAGAGCCACUUUGCCGCUGAACGUAUUAAUCUGUCUUAAAGCAGAGUUCAUAAAUCCCGAAUAAGCACAUUUACGACUUCUCGACUCAGUCAUUAGUUAUUAAUUAUAAUAACUAUUUAAA
Long non-coding RNA from Drosophila obscura, 1278 nucleotides. RefSeq lists it as uncharacterized. The transcript is spliced from 2 exons. Lineage: Eukaryota; Metazoa; Arthropoda; Insecta; Diptera; Drosophilidae. The record is from RefSeq and is a predicted model, not a curated record.